CAAUCUCUUCCUGCAUGGCCUAUGAGCUUCACAACAUCAAUGUAGCUAAAGGAAAAAUCAUCUCAAGAGAAAUAUACUUUUCCUUCAUUGAUCAAAACAACCUUUGAGCUCGCAAAGAGAAAAAGCAAGGACAUGUCUUGGCUAUGUGCAGACAUUACCUCCUCUUCUGAAGACCGCAGAUUUGUGAACACCGAGAAAAAAACUCAGUGAAACAUUAGACUUGGCUCAUGAACCCACCAGGAUUAAAGCUGUCAAGAUGAAUAAUAAGGUAU
Molecule: long non-coding RNA, 272 nt
Organism: Suricata suricatta (meerkat)
Lineage: Eukaryota; Metazoa; Chordata; Mammalia; Carnivora; Herpestidae
Exons: 3
Source: RefSeq, a predicted model, not a curated record